CCCCCUCUUGCCCCCAAUUUAGUUUACCUGUUAUCAGUGGAUUACUAGUGUGUUCCAAAGAUGGAAGGAGUACCUCGGGGGCUCCGGCGUCUGCUCUGGGCUGGAGAAAAAGAAAGCUGUUGGGGCUUUGACGGCUUUGUCUUCUCACUCCCUCUCUUCUGUGGCUGAGUCUAUCUGCUCAGUCUCCCCCUGCAAUGCAGCCCCUCCUAAGAAGGGCGGAAGGACUCCCCGCCCCCUCCUUGCCUGACUCGGCUAAUUCAAAUGAUAGGUUCCAGAACACUUUAGGGAGGGAGACAGGAUUAAAGCAUCUCCGUAGGCUUAUUGGUCGGCACAAUUAUUCCCGAGCUCAUUGCACCCCCAUGCUGACUGGGGUGCAAUGAAUUAGCAGUUAAUUGUCCCCUAAUUUUAGGCUUAUGGAUUAAAAAGCUUAGCUCUAGAUAACAAUAGAGUGUCCCUUUAUUCCCCAAUUUAAGGAUUUCAAGUUACGGUGCUUUAUUUUUGAGAAUCAGAAAAAUCCUCCACCCCUCCCUCCAAUCCCUACUUUUCCGACUCGCCUCCGCANUGGGGGGGGCGUUGCGCUUCUGCGAAUCUCUAAACUUGGCUGGGUCCGGGGCAUCUGGGGGCUCCGAUCAGUGUUGCCCCGCAAUGCCUGGCGCGCGAAGGGGACUGCGGGCAGCGCAGCUUGGGGGCCGGCUCAGGAGAGCCCCUCGCGGGCUCCACGUUCGCCGUUCGCGCAGCGGGGGCUGCGGCCGUCGGCGGCCAGGCCCCCUCCCACGGCCCCGCGUGGUGCAGUGCCUCACCAGUCCAGGGGGGAGCAGUGCGCCCAGCGCCGGGCCGGACGGGUUUCGUAAUCGCGUCGCCGCCGUUUCCGCCCUGAGCCAGCCCCACCUCUGCCGGCCCGCCCUCGGCUCCCCCGCCGCGCCGCGGAGCCAGCCCGGGAAGCCCACACUGGCGGGCCCGGAGCCGGAGCCCCCCACCCGCUGCAGCCGCACGCCUCGAUGCCGGAGCGCGGCAGGGUUCUGCGUCUGA
This 1029-nucleotide long non-coding RNA is filed under the name Ursus americanus (American black bear). Its description in RNAcentral is "lncRNA (ENSUAMG00000027425.1)". Lineage: Eukaryota; Metazoa; Chordata; Mammalia; Carnivora; Ursidae. The record is from RNAcentral.